CCUGAGAAACCCAAAAGAUCGAAUGGGGAGACUCAACGACUGCGAUCCUGGCGCUCGCGCGGUUCGCGAUGCUACGUGGCCUCGGCUCCGUGGCACGCGUCCGUGUGUUCUCAUUCGCCGGGUGUCGCCGUCGCGCACUUCUCCCCUAGUAGGACGUCGCGACCCGUUGGGUGUCGGUCUACGGCCCGGGUGGGCGCCUGUCGUUUGUAACGCCUCGCGGCGUCAUGCGGCAGACCCCCGGUAGCCCGACCAGCUGCCCGGCGGUACUCGCACGGUAUCGAGCCGCAAUUUUAUUGCGUCAGGCCCGUCGCAAGCUAGGCCUUAGAGUUGAACCCGGUCGCACGGACCCAGUGCCGUCACCGGGCCUGGCCGGCUGUUGGCUGACGGUGUCCUAAGACAGGCUCUUUUCGAAUUACCGGUCGGCGACGCUACUGCUUUGGGUACUUUCAGGA
This 452-nucleotide ribosomal RNA is filed under the name Xiphosomella setoni. Its description in RNAcentral is "partial 28S ribosomal RNA". Lineage: Eukaryota; Metazoa; Arthropoda; Insecta; Hymenoptera; Ichneumonidae. The record is from RNAcentral.